UAAACAUGAUGUAAACAUAUUUUAAUUGAUAAAUCAUGAUAAUAAUAAUUAUCGAGCUUUUUAACACUGAAUAAA
Small nucleolar RNA from Microplitis demolitor, 75 nucleotides. Lineage: Eukaryota; Metazoa; Arthropoda; Insecta; Hymenoptera; Braconidae. The record is from RefSeq and is a predicted model, not a curated record.